This 301-nucleotide ribosomal RNA is filed under the name Pelobates cultripes (western spadefoot toad). It matches the Rfam family "Eukaryotic small subunit ribosomal RNA", at positions 166 to 470 of the family's 1831-position model. Lineage: Eukaryota; Metazoa; Chordata; Amphibia; Anura; Pelobatidae. The record is from RNAcentral.
AAUAUUGUGUCAUAUAAAAAAAGACAACUCUGUUACAGAGUAGCUGUUGACAUUAUAGUUGCGCAGGCACUUUGUUGACUCUAGAGAACCUCGGGCCAAUCGCACAUCCCCGUGGCGGCGACUUUGCAUGCAGAUGUCAUCCAUAUCAACUUUCGAUGCCAAUUUCUGCGCCUACCAUGGUGACCACGGGUAACAGGGAAUCAGGGUUCCAUUCCAUACAGGGACCCUGAGAAAUGGCUACCACAUGCAAGGAAGGCAGCAGGCUCGCAAAUGACCCACUCCCGACGCGGGAAGAUAGUGA